UGAGGAACAUGACCUUCGGCGGGGGAUAGCCGGCCCAACGGCCGGGUAAUACCGCGUACGACCACUUUGGGACAUCCCUCGGUGGUGAAAGCAGCAAUGCGCCGAUGGAGUGCCUCGCGGCCUAUCAGCUUGGUUGGUGAGGUAAUAGCUCACCAAGGCGAUGGACGGGUAGCCAGCCUGGAGGAGGGUCGACCCGGCCACACGUGGGACUGAGACGACGGCCAGACCUCCGUACGGGAGCA
This 242-nucleotide ribosomal RNA is filed under the name uncultured bacterium. RNAcentral's name for it is "partial 16S ribosomal RNA". It matches the Rfam family "Bacterial small subunit ribosomal RNA", at positions 118 to 347 of the family's 1533-position model. The record is from RNAcentral.